GUAGUACUGUCCCUGGCAAACAGACGCAUAACUGUGCAUUGUUCUUUGGGAUUUUGAGAGCCUUCAUCUCAAUUUCAACUUUAAAGCAGCUUAAUCUUUAAGGAACAUAUCUCUGAUCUGGGUAAUUUGUAGAACUUAAUUUGAGGGUCAUUACAUGUGAGGAUAGCAGGAGUUGAAGAUGCCAAGGACCUGAAGGGCUACUGGAGGGACAGGUGAAGUGAUUUGAAGAUGUAGCAUUUUGAAUCUCUUUCUGGCCCAUCCUCUGCUUCACACCAGAAUCAUUGUGACCUGUAGACCUGCAAAACAAAGGACCAAAGGUCUGGGGAAAAGCAGCAGCAAAAAUGAGUUCUUACUUCUGGGCACAAAAUGAAAGUAACAGACCUGAUUUACUCUGCGGGCAGCCAGCUGACUACCUUGUUGAAGAGAAACAUUUCACAACGCUUGUAUGCUUCAUUGUUGUUUUGGGAGGUGCACCAAAUUGUCUACCCUCUUCUAAGAACAUCAAGUUUUUCACUUUAUUCUUACUUUUCACCUUUAAUUAUAUUUAUGGUUGCUUUGGAUGUAGAAUUUUAUACACUCAAGAAAAUGUUUUGGCAGGUUGAUAAUUUCUGCUUCUUUUUAAAAACUAGUUUAGUCCAUUAGUAUUUAUUGUAAUUAAAAAUAGAUUUAGAAGAGAAAAGAUUUGAACAGAUUUGGGACACCAAGGAAGAUAUAUGGAUGGAAUAAAAGCACUUGGAAAGACGCUCAACAUCCUAAGUCAUUAGAGAAAUACACACUAAAACCACAAUGAGAUACCACUGUGUACCUAUUGGAAUAGCAACAACAAACCUGUUAAUGCCAAGUGCUGGUGAAGAUAUGAAGACAAUGAAACUUGCAUACAUUGUUGGUGAGAAUGCAAAAUGGUACAACCACUUUGGGAAACAGUUUGGGAGUUUCUUAUAAAGUUAAAUAUAUACUUGCCACAUGACUCACCAAUCUCACUCCUGUGUAUUUACCCAAGAGACAUGAAAACUUAUGUUUACAAAACCUUUAUAUGAAUCUGUAUAGCAGCUUUAUUUAUAAUCUCAAAUGUCUGGAAACAAACAUUCUUCCAUUGGUGAAUGAAUAAACAAAUCGUGGAACAUCUUUCAAUGAAAUAUUACUCAGCAAUAAAAAAGGAAUGGAGUAUCGAUAGGCACAACAAGGAAGAAUUUAAAAUGCAUUGUGCUAAGAGAAAUAAGCCAGCCUCCAAGGGGUACAUACAAAUUAUAAAAUUACAUUCAUAGACCUUCUAAAAAUGGCAAAACUGUAGGUCUGGAGAACAUCAUUGGUUGCUAGGGAAUGGUGUUGGGGAAAAGAAUUGACCACAAAGAUAUAGCAUGAGGAAAUUUUUGGGAGUGAUGUAUCUGUUUUGUUUCUUAGUUGUGGUGUGAUUACAUAACUGUAUGCAUUUAUCAAAACUCAUAUAACUGUACACCAAAAGAGUAGAUUUUACUGUUUAUAAAUUGAAAAUAAAGUUUUUAAAAGAAA
This 1509-nucleotide long non-coding RNA is filed under the name Homo sapiens (human). RNAcentral describes it as "HSALNT0296604". Lineage: Eukaryota; Metazoa; Chordata; Mammalia; Primates; Hominidae. The record is from RNAcentral.